CACACACUUUUAUUUGGUCAACCAUGGAGUUAGUAAGAGCAGUGAAGAAUGGAAACGAGACAUAACUGCUGGAGUUUGAUGACAGCUCCAAGUAUUCUUUGGUUUAAGUGAUUGGAAAUUUUUGUUCUGUGGCCUAUGUGGUGCAGAGGUGAGGUAAGCUGGGUAAGAUGGAGGUGGUUGGCAGAUUCUAGCCGUGAGAUUUUCCAAUAAAUGAUAAAGAAAAGUUUGAAGUAAUGAAAAUCUGAGACUCAGAAAUUUUCUUCUUUCUUUACCUACAUCCUUUCUACAAUCAUACUGAGGUUAAAUUUAGAGAUCCAAUUCUCAUUCCUCCUAACUUAUGUUUGUGUUGGUUAAAUAUUGGCUAUUGGGUGCAAUAAAGUACGUCAUGCUAGCCUAAUUAUGUUAAGAUGUCCUAUCUAGAUUGCACUUGAUUUUUCUUCUUUUGUUGGUAGGUAUGCAAUAGUAUGUCAUCUGAAAAGCCAUGCAGCCAUUGAACGUCUUCGUAGAACAAAAAAUAUAGAACCUUCCAAGGCAAGAAAUGUUACUUCUAUUUGAGCGCCAUUGUAAUUUCCUCCUUCAGAAGCUUUGGUGUAACACUGAAUGAGCCACUGUUUGUCAUUUGCCGCAUUUGAUUACCAUGCUUUCCUGUAUUACCAUUUAAUGUGCAUUUUAAUGUUCAUGCUUUUUUAUUACUAGUGUCAUUUAUGCAGCCCCUUAGCAUCUUAUGCCACUCUUUGAGAGAUAUAGACAUAUAUACAACUGGGUUCCCUUGUGGUGAUGGCCAAGGACAUACAAAUAUAUUUCGAGCUGUCAAGCAUUGCCUACCUGGGCCUGUAAGGAUGUUAUUUUAUAUGUUCUACUGCUAAUAGGAGGAAAUCUAAUGUACCCAUUGGAGGCAUUCUAUAGCACACAAGCAUAUGACCAGAACUUUGGCCAGGACUCACCAACCAAUGGCUUUUCACAUUGCACAUGUUGAACCACUUCAGAUUUUAUUUUGCAUGUAACUAUAUUGUAUGUUCUCUUUUGAGUCUAUCCUUAAAAAAAGUUUCCAACUGGAUGAAUUUAAUGGUCAUAUUGAGAAUUUUUUGCAUGUUCAAUUUCUAAAUGAACCUGCCCAUGGGUAUGAUAGGUUCCUCAUGCUAAAUGCUUUUGAGCCAUAACUUUGCAUAUCUUUGGCAGUAUACUUUCAUCUUAAAUGGAAGCAAAGAAUUGCCUAAACAAUGUGUAAGGUAUGGGACUACAAGCGCCAAAUAUGCUCAAAGGAAAAAUGUGGGUGUUCGUAUCCCUGAUGAUGCCAUAUGUCAAGAAAUACUAGAGAAGAUGGAUGCACCUCUUAUAUCUACAAGUGUUAAGUGGCCCAAGGAUAAUGAGUGGAUGGUAGAUCCUGUUGUGAUAGCUGAUAUAUAUGGACCAGAGGGUCUUGAUUUUGUUGUUGAUGGUGGUGUAAGAGUGGCGGAUCCUUCCACUGUUGUUGACAUGACUGUUGUUCCUCCGAGAGUAAUACGACAAGGGAAGGGACCUAAAUUGUACUGGAUGGUAGCAGAAGAUGAUAAUGAAUCUGCAUUGCAUGCUGAAGAUCUCAUCCCUUCCGCCACUUAGGGACAAAACCUUGUGCAGAACCACAUUUCAAGUAAUAUCAGAAUUGGACAGGUUAUCUUCUUAUGCUGAAGUGCUAGUUUUUUAUUCGAGAUUUAGCACCUUCCCUGACAACUUAGUAAAACAUCUAAACAUGUUGUAAAUGUCUAGUGAAGAAAUGGUAAGAUACCCAAAAAUAAUAAAAAAAUAGUCAGAGACUUGUAAUGAGUGAGCUUAUGGUGCAUGUGAACAACCAUCAUUUUAAUCCAAUCAAAUCCUUCCAUGAAAACAAACCAGGAGCUACAUGUCGUCGAAAUAUCAAUGAAUAAUCGCAAACAUUCUUCGCAUAUGCUUCUAUUCCUUCAUCAACCGGUGUGAAGAUUGUCAUUCUGGUUUGAUUCCUAAGCCCAAACAACUGCAAAUCAAUAAUUGUGGCCAUUAUUGAAUAAAUCUGAAGCGAGACCAAAAGGAUCAGCAUAUCAAGCACGGAUGAUCCAUGCUGAGAUUCAUUACUAAGACCAGUAAUUGAAUUAGGGCUGUUGCCGAUGCCAAAUUAAGAGGAAUCUCGAA
RNAcentral lists this unclassified non-coding RNA (2145 nucleotides) under Hevea brasiliensis (rubber tree). The record is from RNAcentral. Lineage: Eukaryota; Viridiplantae; Streptophyta; Magnoliopsida; Malpighiales; Euphorbiaceae.